RNAcentral lists this ribosomal RNA (562 nucleotides) under uncultured Staphylococcus sp. RNAcentral describes it as "bacterial SSU rRNA". It matches the Rfam family "Bacterial small subunit ribosomal RNA", at positions 111 to 660 of the family's 1533-position model. Lineage: Bacteria; Bacillati; Bacillota; Bacilli; Caryophanales; Staphylococcaceae. The record is from RNAcentral.
UAACACGUGGAUAACCUACCUAUAAGACUGGGAUAACUUCGGGAAACCGGAGCUAAUACCGGAUAAUAUUUUGAACCGCAUGGUUCAAAAGUGAAAGACGGUCUUGCUGUCACUUAUAGAUGGAUCCGCGCUGCAUUAGCUAGUUGGUAAGGUAACGGCUUACCAAGGCAACGAUGCAUAGCCGACCUGAGAGGGUGAUCGGCCACACUGGAACUGAGACACGGUCCAGACUCCUACGGGAGGCAGCAGUAGGGAAUCUUCCGCAAUGGGCGAAAGCCUGACGGAGCAACGCCGCGUGAGUGAUGAAGGUCUUCGGAUCGUAAAACUCUGUUAUUAGGGAAGAACAUAUGUGUAAGUAACUGUGCACAUCUUGACGGUACCUAAUCAGAAAGCCACGGCUAACUACGUGCCAGCAGCCGCGGUAAUACGUAGGUGGCAAGCGUUAUCCGGAAUUAUUGGGCGUAAAGCGCGCGUAGGCGGUUUUUUAAGUCUGAUGUGAAAGCCCACGGCUCAACCGUGGAGGGUCAUUGGAAACUGGAAAACUUGAGUGCAGAAGAGGAAA